RNAcentral lists this transfer RNA (86 nucleotides) under Candidatus Parcubacteria bacterium. RNAcentral's name for it is "tRNA-Ser". It matches the Rfam family "tRNA". Rfam says of the family: Transfer RNA (tRNA) molecules are approximately 80 nucleotides in length. Their secondary structure includes four short double-helical elements and three loops (D, anti-codon, and T loops). The record is from RNAcentral. Lineage: Bacteria; Candidatus Parcubacteria.
GGAAGGGUAGCAAAGUGGUCUACUGCAGCGGCCUGGAGAGCCGCGCCCCCCAAAGGGGCUCGUGGGUUCGAAUCCCACCCCUUCCG